AGAGUUUGAUCCUGGCUCAGGACGACGCUGGCGGCGUGCCUUACACAUGCAAGUCGAACGGGGUAAUCCUUCGGGGUUACUUAGUGGCGAACGGGUGAGUAACGCGUGAGAAACCUGCCUUUCAGUGGGGGACAACAGUUGGAAACGACUGCUAAUACCGCAUAAUGUUAUUUGGGGGCAUCCUCGAAUAACCAAAGAUUUAUUGCUGAAAGAUGGUCCCGCGUCUGAUUAGCUAGAUGGCGGGGUAACGGCCCACCAUGGCGACGAUCAGUAGCCGGUCUGAGAGGAUGAACGGCCACAUUGGGACUGAAAUACGGCCCAGACUCCUACGGGAGGCAGCAGUGGGGAAUAUUGGGCAAUGGGCGAAAGCCUGACCCAGCAACGCCGCGUGAAGGAAGAAGGCCUUCGGGUUGUAAACUUCUUUUACCAGGGACGAAUAAUGACGGUACCUGGAGAAAAAGCAACGGCUAACUACGUGCCAGCAGCCGCGGU
This 492-nucleotide ribosomal RNA is filed under the name uncultured bacterium. RNAcentral's name for it is "bacterial SSU rRNA". It matches the Rfam family "Bacterial small subunit ribosomal RNA", at positions 8 to 521 of the family's 1533-position model. The record is from RNAcentral.